AGGAUGGACAUGCGUCGCAUUAGGUAGACGGCGGGGUAACGGCCCACCGUGCCGACGAUGCGUAGGGGUUCUGAGAGGAAGGCCCCCCACACUGGUACUGAGACACGGACCAGACUCCUACGGGAGGCAGCAGUGAGGAAUAUUGGUCAAUGGCCGAGAGGCUGAACCAGCCAAGUCGCGUGAGGGAAGAAUGUCCUAAGGAUUGUAAACCUCUUUUGUCGGGGAGCAAAAAGGCUCUGCGGAGUCGUAUUGAGAGUACCCGAAGAAAAAGCAUCGGCUAACUCCGUGCCAGCAGCCGCGGUAAUACGGAGGAUGCGAGCGUUAUCCGGAUUUAUUGGGUUUAAAGGGUGCGCAGGCGGCGUGUCAAGCAAGCGGUAAAAUAGCGGGGCUCAACCCCGUCGAGCCGUUUGAACUGGCGCGCUUGAGUUCAGGCGAGGUAGGCGGAAUUCGUGGUGUAGCGGUGAAAUGCAUAGAUAUCACGAAGAACUCCGAUUGCGAAGGCAGCUUACCAGUCUGCGACUGACGCUCAGGCACGAAAGUGUGGGUAUCGAACAGGAUUAGAUACCCUGGUAGUCCACACAGUAAACGAUGAGCGCUAGGUGUCCGGGU
This 609-nucleotide ribosomal RNA is filed under the name uncultured bacterium. RNAcentral's name for it is "bacterial SSU rRNA". It matches the Rfam family "Bacterial small subunit ribosomal RNA", at positions 222 to 829 of the family's 1533-position model. The record is from RNAcentral.